CUGCAAGUUUGUACUUUGUGUUCCUUUCAAAGUUAAAGACUAGUACCAUUAGUACUGAAAGUAAAGAUUAGUGCUUUCAAACCUCUUGACAGAGGACCAUGGUCUUUAAUGAAGUUUUCUUUUUCCUUUGUUAAAUUCUAGCUUCACAGUCCUAUUGUUCAAAAAAUGGUUAACCAAAGAAAGCAGUUGUUAUGCUGCUUCUUGGGACGCUUUCAAGGAAGUAGAUGCUUUUAACCAUUUUUGGAUCUCUUAAAACAAUCUAUAAUCAUGGAGAUAUUUAGCCCAAUUCAUUAUUGCAAAUUUUUGAAGAACUGGAUAAUUGCAAAUAUUUAUCUGAUGAACAUAGUAACCAGGUGGAAUUGAAGGUAAUCAAAUAAUUAACAAAAAUAUGCCGAUUGCUUCAGGAAACUUUAAAUGGUCUGAAGAGUUGAAGGGACGAAUACAGACUUUUUGGUCUUGCUUCUCAGGUCUGUCUCACCGGUGGCAGCACAAAGGAUGGCAUGUUCCUGUGGGAGAAUUAGACCUACCUGAGUUAAAAGUUAUUGAGUAAUAACCGUUUCAACCGUUGACCACUGAUGUAACCAGUAAGAUAUAAUGGGGUCAUAUCCUGUUCUUUUCCUAGAAUCUUAAUUGUUCUCAGUGUUCUCACUUUUUGU
Molecule: long non-coding RNA, 656 nt
Filed under: Struthio camelus australis
Lineage: Eukaryota; Metazoa; Chordata; Aves; Struthioniformes; Struthionidae
Description: lncRNA (ENSSCUG00000010545.1)
Source: RNAcentral